Unclassified non-coding RNA from Dipodomys ordii (Ord's kangaroo rat), 331 nucleotides. Its record names the gene 7SK. It matches the Rfam family "7SK RNA". From Rfam's summary of the family: 7SK was discovered as an abundant small nuclear RNA in the mid-70s but a possible function has only recently been suggested. Lineage: Eukaryota; Metazoa; Chordata; Mammalia; Rodentia; Heteromyidae. The record is from Ensembl.
GGAUGUGAGGGCGAUCUGGCUGCGACAUCUGUCACCCCAUUGAUCGCCAGGGUUGAUUCGGCUGAUCUGGCUGGCUAGGCGGGUGUCCCCUUCCUCCCUCACCGCUCCAUGUGCGUCCCUCCCGAAGCUGCGCGCUCGGUCGAAGAGGACGACCAUCCCCGAUAGAGGAGGACCGGUCUUCGGUCAAGGGUAUACGAGUAGCUGCGCUCCCCUGCUAGAACCUCCAAACAAGCUCUCAAGGUCCAUUUGUAGGAGAACGUAGGGUAGUCAAGCUUCCAAGACUCCAGACACAUCCAAAUGAGGCGCUGCGCGGGGCAGUCUGCCUUUCUUU